GAAUGCUGACAUAAGUAACGAUAAAGCGGGUGAAAAGCCCGCUCGCCGGAAGACCAAGGGUUCCUGUCCAACGUUAAUCGGGGCAGGGUGAGUCGACCCCUAAGGCGAGGCCGAAAGGCGUAGUCGAUGGGAAACGGGUUAAUAUUCCCGUACUUGGUGUUACUGCGAAGGGGGGACGGAGAAGGCUAUGUUGGCCGGGCGACGGUUGUCCCGGUUUAAGCGUGUAGGUGUGUGUUCCAGGUAAAUCCGGUUCACUUUAACACUGAGGCGUGACGACGAGGCACUACGGUGCUGAAGCAACAAAUGCCCUGCUUCCAGGAAAAGCCUCUAAGCAUCAGGUAACAUCAAAUCGUACCCCAAACCGACACAGGUGGUCAGGUAGAGAAUACCAAGGCGCUUGAGAGAACUCGGGUGAAGGAACUAGGCAAAAUGGUGCCGUAACUUCGGGAGAAGGCACGCUGACACGUAGGUGAAGUGAUUUACUCAUGGAGCUGAAGUCAGUCGAAGAUACCAGCUGGCUGCAACUGUUUAUUAAAAACACAGCACUGUGCAAACACGAAAGUGGACGUAUACGGUGUGACGCCUGCCCGGUGCCGGAAGGUUAAUUGAUGGGGUCAGCGCAAGCGAAGCUCCUGAUCGAAGCCCCGGUAAACGGCGGCCGUAACUAUAACGGUCCUAAGGUAGCGAAAUUCCUUGUCGGGUAAGUUCCGACCUGCACGAAUGGCGUAAUGAUGGCCAGGCUGUCUCCACCCGAGACUCAGUGAAAUUGAACUCGCUGUGAAGAUGCAGUGUACCCGCGGCAAGACGGAAAGACCCCGUGAACCUUUACUAUAGCUUGACACUGAACAUUGAGCCUUGAUGUGUAGGAUAGGUGGGAGGCUUUGAAGUGUGGACGCCAGUCUGCAUGGAGCCGACCUUGAAAUACCACCCUUUAAUGUUUGAUGUUCUAACGUGGACCCGUGAUCCGGGUUGCGGACAGUGUCUGGUGGGUAGUUUGACUGGGGCGGUCUCCUCCUAAAGAGUAACGGAGGAGCACGAAGGUUGGCUAAUCCUGGUCGGACAUCAGGAGGUUAGUGCAAUGGCAUAAGCCAGCUUGACUGCGAGCGUGACGGCGCGAGCAGGUGCGAAAGCAGGUCAUAGUGAUCCGGUGGUUCUGAAUGGAAGGGCCAUCGCUCAACGGAUAAAAGGUACUCCGGGGAUAACAGGCUGAUACCGCCCAAGAGUUCAUAUCGACGGCGGUGUUUGGCACCUCGAUGUCGGCUCAUCACAUCCUGGGGCUGAAGUAGGUCCCAAGGGUAUGGCUGUUCGCCAUUUAAAGUGGUACGCGAGCUGGGUUUAGAACGUCGUGAGACAGUUCGGUCCCUAUCUGCCGUGGGCGCUGGAGAACUGAGGGGGGCUGCUCCUAGUACGAGAGGACCGGAGUGGACGCAUCACUGGUGUUCGGGUUGUCAUGCCAAUGGCACUGCCCGGUAGCUAAAUGCGGAAGAGAUAAGUGCUGAAAGCAUCUAAGCACGAAACUUGCCCCGAG
RNAcentral lists this ribosomal RNA (1528 nucleotides) under Salmonella enterica subsp. enterica serovar Heidelberg. Its description in RNAcentral is "partial 23S ribosomal RNA". It matches the Rfam family "Bacterial large subunit ribosomal RNA", at positions 1292 to 2803 of the family's 2925-position model. Lineage: Bacteria; Pseudomonadati; Pseudomonadota; Gammaproteobacteria; Enterobacterales; Enterobacteriaceae. RNAcentral also lists the same sequence under 6 other names. The record is from RNAcentral.